RNAcentral lists this ribosomal RNA (246 nucleotides) under uncultured Lactobacillus sp. RNAcentral describes it as "partial 16S ribosomal RNA". It matches the Rfam family "Bacterial small subunit ribosomal RNA", at positions 116 to 355 of the family's 1533-position model. The record is from RNAcentral. Lineage: Bacteria; Bacillati; Bacillota; Bacilli; Lactobacillales; Lactobacillaceae.
CGUGGGUAACCUGCCCAAGAGAUCGGGAUAACACCUGGAAACAGAUGCUAAUACCGGAUAACAACAGAUGAUGCCUAUCAACUGUUUAAAAGAUGGUUCUGCUAUCACUCUUGGAUGGACCUGCGGUGCAUUAGCUAGUUGGUAGGGUAACGGCCUACCAAGGCGAUGAUGCAUAGCCGAGUUGAGAGACUGAUCGGCCACAUUGGGACUGAGACACGGCCCAAACUCCUACGGGAGUCAGCAGCC